This is a non-coding RNA of Potamilus streckersoni, 72 nucleotides long. The record is from the annotation of a GenBank genome assembly. Lineage: Eukaryota; Metazoa; Mollusca; Bivalvia; Unionida; Unionidae.
CGUUCGUUGCCUAGUGGUUAUAGGAUCUGCCUUGGAUGCGGAAGGUUGCAGGUUCGAACCCCGUUUGAGUCA